Molecule: long non-coding RNA, 1107 nt
Organism: Strongylocentrotus purpuratus (purple sea urchin)
Lineage: Eukaryota; Metazoa; Echinodermata; Echinoidea; Camarodonta; Strongylocentrotidae
Exons: 3
Source: RefSeq, a predicted model, not a curated record
GCGGAAUAGAUCUCUUAAUGCUGCCUAUUUCAGCAACAGUAUGUGUCUCAUCAACAUAUUCUUUAAUGAACUGAGUCGGCAAACAAACACUCAACAAGAAGCUUAUGGGUUUUAUAGUCUUCUUUGUGACAUCGGUGGCUCUCUUGGUAUGUGGAUAGGAGGGAGUAUUCUUACCCUCUGCGAGGUUCUCGACAUCAUUGGUUAUUCUAUACACAAGGGAAGAUCGUCUUAAAGCGACACUGAACUUGACUGAAGUGAUGAACCUUCUGCCCUAGCAUACUGUUCACAGCCAUCUAUACACAGAGUUUGGCCAACCCUGUUCGAGUUGUACACAAUAUGGUGACUACUGCUUUAUUGGGCAAGCACAAAACAAAAGAAUAUACGCCAUGUUGUGACCCAGGGAAACCAAGUUGGCUAAACUUUGUAUAUAGAUGGCUCUGGUACUGUUCAUUGCACAGCGUCAUCUCAUGAUCAACUUGCCAACAGUGCGAAACCCAAUACCUAAUUUCCAAUUCGCAGACACAUGACUCGACGCGAAAACAGGUAUAGCUAGGGAAGCAGCGAAUUACGGGCUCAUAAUACUGCUGCAACUUAACUGAGAUGGCGCUAUAGGGGAUUUUGCAGUAGUACGAUUGUUUUCAUAACAUGUACAUGUAUAACCAGCAAAACUGUACAGAUUUGCGUCGUAUGUAGUAAAGGAAUACAUGACACUUUAUAAAGCAAUCAAUAUUGUAUUGAGAAAGCCUAGGUAUUUCUCCCAGAAUCUUUUCAUGCGAGUGAAUAAAAAGUCAAGGGAAAGUCUUGACUGGAGGAAGCAUUACUUUCUCUAAUCUUAAAGAUAAUUUGUCUACAAUGUAUGAGCAAGAAUCAAUAAUUAUAGGCCGUCCGAGAGUCCUGCAAAGGUCACUCCAGUUCACCUCUUAGAUUUGACACUUCCUUGGAAACAGACAGACAGACAAACAGACAAACACACACCAAAGCAUUUUGCCCAAGCUUUGCUGCCAAAGUUAUCGGGAUUUAGAAAUAUAGCAUUUUUACAUUCAAACAUAAAUCGCAUAACUAAGAUUUUUUUUACUUAGUUCAGUUCAAUUAUCAGUUUAAUCAAAG